RNAcentral lists this microRNA precursor (44 nucleotides) under Ciona intestinalis (vase tunicate). RNAcentral's name for it is "microRNA cin-mir-4160 precursor". The record is from miRBase by way of RNAcentral. Lineage: Eukaryota; Metazoa; Chordata; Ascidiacea; Phlebobranchia; Cionidae.
UUAUGAUGGAAUGAUCAACGAAUGGAAGAUUGAAACAAACAUGG